This 432-nucleotide ribosomal RNA is filed under the name Acinetobacter sp. oral taxon C51. Its description in RNAcentral is "bacterial SSU rRNA". It matches the Rfam family "Bacterial small subunit ribosomal RNA", at positions 30 to 462 of the family's 1533-position model. The record is from RNAcentral. Lineage: Bacteria; Pseudomonadati; Pseudomonadota; Gammaproteobacteria; Moraxellales; Moraxellaceae.
AUUGAACGCUGGCGGCAGGCUUAACACAUGCAAGUCGAGCGGAGCGAGGGUGCUUGCACCUUAGCUUAGCGGCGGACGGGUGAGUAAUGCUUAGGAAUCUGCCUAUUAGUGGGGGACAACAUUCCGAAAGGGAUGCUAAUACCGCAUACGCCCUACGGGGGAAAGCAGGGGAUCUUCGGACCUUGCGCUAAUAGAUGAGCCUAAGUCGGAUUAGCUAGUUGGUGGGGUAAAGGCCUACCAAGGCGACGAUCUGUAGCGGGUCUGAGAGGAUGAUCCGCCACACUGGGACUGAGACACGGCCCAGACUCCUACGGGAGGCAGCAGUGGGGAAUAUUGGACAAUGGGGGGAACCCUGAUCCAGCCAUGCCGCGUGUGUGAAGAAGGCCUUUUGGUUGUAAAGCACUUUAAGCGAGGAGGAGGCGCUCUAGAAUA